This 305-nucleotide unclassified non-coding RNA is filed under the name Hevea brasiliensis (rubber tree). The record is from RNAcentral. Lineage: Eukaryota; Viridiplantae; Streptophyta; Magnoliopsida; Malpighiales; Euphorbiaceae.
UAUGCCAGCUAUUAUGGGAUUCAGACAAAGGUAAAAAAGGGAAAAGAAAUCAACAGUGAGCAUAACGAGGAUUGAAAGCUUGAGACAAAUUCAUCUUCAUCUCUAUCCUCCACUCAUCCAUCAUCAUCAUCAUGGUUGAUCCCUUUUCAAUUUCUUUUUUUAAGAUUAAUUUAUAAAUUCUGUUUUUUUUUUCUUAUUCUCUGCUGUUGUGAAGUGAAAAUGUUGGAACUGAUGUUGUUGAUGGUGUAGCAUAAUACAGGUUACAGUUUGAUACAGAAGAGAAGAUAAAUGUGAAUCAAGAAAUU